AUGAGCCGGGCGGCCGUGACCCUGCUGGAGUCCGGGGGGGACCUCCAGCCCCCCGGGGGGUCCCUGCGCCUCCUCUGCCGCGCCUCGGGGUUCAAUUUCGGGAGUUACCAAAUGGAGUGGGUCCGACAGAGACCCGGGCAGGGGCUGGAGUGGCUCGCGGGGAUCAGCAGCGGUGGUGGCAGCACCUACUACGCGCCGUCGGUGAAGGGGCCGGGCGACGAUCUCCAGGGCCAACGGGCAGAGCUCGGUGACGCUGACCAUGAACGGCCUCAAGGACGAGGAUUCCGGCUCCUGUUUCUGUGCCAAGGAUGCUGGUGCUGGUUUUUGGGGUGAUCAUGCCGGUGCUAAUGGUUUUACCCCCAUCCCAUCGCCGUGUACCCCCCAGUCCCCAAACCCCAAACCCCAGCCCCUGACCCGUGUCAGCCGCAGUCCAGGGAACCUCUUUGGCCCAGCUGGCUAA
Non-coding RNA from Vidua chalybeata, 460 nucleotides. NCBI's taxonomy places the organism in Eukaryota, Metazoa, Chordata, Aves, Passeriformes, Viduidae. The record is from the annotation of a RefSeq genome assembly.